UAGAGUUUGAUCCUGGCUCAGAUUGAACGCUGGCGGCAGGCCUAACACAUGCAAGUCGAGCGGUAGAGAGAAGCUUGCUUCUCUUGAGAGCGGCGGACGGGUGAGUAAUGCCUAGGAAUCUGCCUGGUAGUGGGGGAUAACGCUCGGAAACGGACGCUAAUACCGCAUACGUCCUACGGGAGAAAGCAGGGGACCUUCGGGCCUUGCGCUAUCAGAUGAGCCUAGGUCGGAUUAGCUAGUUGGUGAGGUAAUGGCUCACCAAGGCGACGAUCCGUAACUGGUCUGAGAGGAUGAUCAGUCACACUGGAACUGAGACACGGUCCAGACUCCUACGGGAGGCAGCAGUGGGGAAUAUUGGACAAUGGGCGAAAGCCUGAUCCAGCCAUGCCGCGUGUGUGAAGAAGGUCUUCGGAUUGUAAAGCACUUUAAGUUGGGAGGAAGGGCAGUAACCUAAUACGUUAUUGUUUUGACGUUACCGACAGAAUAAGCACCGGCUAACU
RNAcentral lists this ribosomal RNA (500 nucleotides) under Pseudomonas sp. 01WB04.3-98. RNAcentral describes it as "bacterial SSU rRNA". It matches the Rfam family "Bacterial small subunit ribosomal RNA", at positions 1 to 502 of the family's 1533-position model. Lineage: Bacteria; Pseudomonadati; Pseudomonadota; Gammaproteobacteria; Pseudomonadales; Pseudomonadaceae. The record is from RNAcentral.